AGUGAACGCUGGCGGUAGGCCUAACACAUGCAAGUCGAACGGCAGCACAGUAAGAGCUUGCUCUUACGGGUGGCGAGUGGCGGACGGGUGAGGAAUACAUCGGAAUCUACUUUUUCGUGGGGGAUAACGUAGGGAAACUUACGCUAAUACCGCAUACGACCUACGGGUGAAAGCAGGGGAUCUUCGGACCUUGCGCGAUUGAAUGAGCCGAUGUCGGAUUAGCUAGUUGGCGGGGCAAAGGCCCACCAAGGCGACGAUCCGUAGCUGGUCUGAGAGGAUGAUCAGCCACACUGGAACUGAGACACGGUCCAGACUCCUACGGGAGGCAGCAGUGGGGAAUAUUGGACAAUGGGCGCAAGCCUGAUCCAGCCAUACCGCGUGGGUGAAGAAGGCCUUCGGGUUGUAAAGCCCUUUUGUUGGGAAAGAAAAGCAGCAGGUUAAUACCCCGCUGUUCUGACGGUACCCAAAGGAUAAGCACCGGCUAACUUCGUG
This 492-nucleotide ribosomal RNA is filed under the name uncultured bacterium. RNAcentral's name for it is "partial 16S ribosomal RNA". It matches the Rfam family "Bacterial small subunit ribosomal RNA", at positions 29 to 507 of the family's 1533-position model. The record is from RNAcentral.